This 694-nucleotide ribosomal RNA is filed under the name uncultured bacterium. Its description in RNAcentral is "bacterial SSU rRNA". It matches the Rfam family "Bacterial small subunit ribosomal RNA", at positions 32 to 715 of the family's 1533-position model. The record is from RNAcentral.
AACGCUAGCUACAGGCUUAACACAUGCAAGUCGAGGGGCAGCAUUAUCGAAGCUUGCUUUGAUAGAUGGCGACCGGCGCACGGGUGAGUAACGCGUAUCCAACCUUCCCCAUAGUCAGGAAUAGCCCGGCGAAAGUCGAAUUAAUGCCUGAUGUUUUCCACGGACGGCAUCUGAUGUGGAACAAAGAUUCAUCGCUAUGGGAUGGGGAUGCGUCUGAUUAGCUUGUUGGCGGGGUAACGGCCCACCAAGGCAACGAUCAGUAGGGGUUCUGAGAGGAAGGUCCCCCACAUUGGAACUGAGACACGGUCCAAACUCCUACGGGAGGCAGCAGUGAGGAAUAUUGGUCAAUGGGCGAGAGCCUGAACCAGCCAAGUAGCGUGCAGGAUGACGGCCCUAUGGGUUGUAAACUGCUUUUAUAAGGGAAUAAAGUGGGUCUCGUGAGACUUUUUGCAUGUACCUUAUGAAUAAGGACCGGCUAAUUCCGUGCCAGCAGCCGCGGUAAUACGGAAGGUCCGGGCGUUAUCCGGAUUUAUUGGGUUUAAAGGGAGCGUAGGCCGGAGAUUAAGCGUGUUGUGAAAUGUAGUGGCUCAACCUCUGCACUGCAGCGCGAACUGGUCUUCUUGAGUACGCACAACGUGGGCGGAAUUCGUGGUGUAGCGGUGAAAUGCUUAGAUAUCACGAAGAACUCCGAUUG